UACGUAGGGUGCAAGCGUUAAUCGGAAUUACUGGGCGUAAAGCGCACGUAGGCGGAUAUUUAAGUCAGGGGUGAAAUCCCGGGGCUCAACCCCGGAACUGCCUUUGAUACUGGGUAUCUCGAGUCCGAGAGAGGUGAGUGGAAUUCCGAGUGUAGAGGUGAAAUUCGUAGAUAUUCGGAGGAACACCAGUGGCGAAGGCGGCUCACUGGCUCGGUACUGACGCUGAGGUGCGAAAGCGUGGGGAGCAAACAGG
Molecule: ribosomal RNA, 253 nt
Filed under: uncultured bacterium
Lineage: Bacteria
Description: partial 16S ribosomal RNA
Rfam family: Bacterial small subunit ribosomal RNA
Source: RNAcentral